Molecule: ribosomal RNA, 505 nt
Filed under: uncultured bacterium
Lineage: Bacteria
Description: partial 16S ribosomal RNA
Rfam family: Bacterial small subunit ribosomal RNA
Source: RNAcentral
GACGAACGCUGGCGGCGUGCCUAAUACAUGCAAGUGGAACGCACAGUUUAUACCGUAGCUUGCUACACCAUAGACUGUGAGUUGCGAACGGGUGAGUAACGCGUAGGUAACCUGCCUGGUAGCGGGGGAUAACUAUUGGAAACGAUAGCUAAUACCGCAUAAUAUUAAUUAUUGCAUGAUAAUUAAUUGAAAGGUGCAAUUGCACCACUACCAGAUGGACCUGCGUUGUAUUAGCUAGUAGGUGAGGUAACGGCUCACCUAGGCGACGAUACAUAGCCGACCUGAGAGGGUGAUCGGCCACACUGGGACUGAGACACGGCCCAGACUCCUACGGGAGGCAGCAGUAGGGAAUCUUCGGCAAUGGACGAAAGUCUGACCGAGCAACGCCGCGUGAGUGAAGAAGGUUUUCGGAUCGUAAAGCUCGGUUGUAAGAGAAGAACGGGUGUGAGAGUGGAAAGUUCACACUGUGACGGUAUCUUACCAGAAAGGGACGGCUAACUACGUG